Molecule: ribosomal RNA, 183 nt
Filed under: uncultured bacterium
Lineage: Bacteria
Description: partial 16S ribosomal RNA
Rfam family: Bacterial small subunit ribosomal RNA
Source: RNAcentral
CACCGGUGGCGAANGCGGGUUUCUGGCCGAUAAUUGACGCUGAGAUGCGAAAGUGUGGGGAUCGAACAGGAUUAGAUACCCUGGUAGUCCACACUGUAAACGAUGUACACUAGGUGUUGGGGUACGAACCUCAGUGCCGAAGCAACGUGAUAAGUGUACCGCCUGGGGAGUAUGCCGCCAGGG